CGCUGACAGGCGGCAAUUUCGGAGGAAUACCUAUGCGAAAGCAGCUACUGACCAUCAUGACGCUGAUGGCGAAAGCUAGGGAGCACACAGGAUUAGAUACCCUGGUAGUCCUAGCCCUAACGAUGCUCAUUAGGUGUGGGAGUAUCGACCCUUUCGCGCCGAAGUUAACGCAUUAAUGAGCCGCCUGGGGAGUACGGCCGCAAGGUUGAACUCAAAGGAAUUGACGGGGCACGCACAAGCGGUGGAGCAUGUGGUUUAAUUCGACGCAACGCGAAGAACCUUACCUGGGCUUGAACUACUGGUAGUAAGCCGUUGGAAACAUCGGCUGAUCCGCAAGGAAGCCAGCAGAGGUGCUGCAUGGUUGUCGUCAGCUCGUGUCGUGAGAUGUUGGGUUAAAGUCCCGCAACGAGCGCAACCCCUAUCUCAUGUUGCUAUUCCCGCAAGGGAAGCAUUCUUGAGAAAGUGCCUUCGAUAAGAAGGAGGAAGGUGGGGAGGACGUCAAAUCCUCAUGGCCCUUAUGUCCAGGGCAACACACGUGCUACAAUGGCCGGUACAACGGGAAGCAAUACCGUAAGGUGGAGCCAAACCCUGAAAGCCGGCCUCAGUUCAGAUUGUGGGUUGAAACUCGCCCACAUGAAGGCGGAAUCGCUAGUAAUCGCGAAUCAGCAGGUCGCGGUGAAUACGUUCCCGGGCCUUGUACACACCGCCCGUCACACCACGAAAGUGGGCCGUACUAGAAGCUGGUGUGCUAACCGCAAGGAGGCAGCCAUCCAAGGUACAGCUCAUGAUUGGGGUGAAGUGGUAACAAGGUAACC
Molecule: ribosomal RNA, 815 nt
Filed under: uncultured soil bacterium
Lineage: Bacteria
Description: bacterial SSU rRNA
Rfam family: Bacterial small subunit ribosomal RNA
Source: RNAcentral